GAGUUUGCUCCUGGCUCAGAACGUACGCUGGCGGCACGCCUAACACAUGCAAGUCGAACGAAGUAGCAAUACUUAGUGGCAGACGGGUGAGUAACAUGUAGGUAUCUGCCCUUUGGCCUGGAAUAACACGAGGAAACUUGUGCUAAUACCGGAUAAGUCUUUACGGAGAAAGCUUUAUGCACCAUUGGAUGAGCCUGCACUUGAUUAGUUUGUUGGUGGGGUAAUGGCCUACCAAGACUUUGAUCAAUAGCUGAUUUGAGAGGAUGAUCAGCCACAUUGGGACUGAGACACGGCCCAAACUCCUACGGGAGGCAGCAGUGGGGAAUCUUGCACAAUGGAGGAAACUCUGAUGCAGCGAUGCCGCGUGAGUGAAGAAGGCCCUUGGGUUGUAAAGCUCUUUCCCCCCCCCCCACAAAAUGACUGUACCCGAAUAAGAAGGUCCGGCGAACUUCGUGCCAGCAGCCGCGGUAAUACGAAGGGACCUAGCGUAGUUCGGAAUUACUGGGCUUAAAGAGUUCGUAGGUGGUUGAAAAAGUUGGUGGUGAAAUCCCAGAGCUUAACUCUGGAACUGCCAUCAAAACUUUUCAGCUAGAGUAUGAUAGAGGAAAGCAGAAUUUCUAGUGUAGAGGUGAAAUUCGUAGAUAUUAGAAAGAAUACCAAUUGCGAAGGCAGCUUUCUGGAUCAUUACUGACACUGAGGAACGAAAGCAUGGGUAGCGAAGAGGAUUAGAUACCCUCGUAGUCCAUGCCGUAAACGAUGUGUGUUAGACGUUGGAAAUUUAUUUUCAGUGUCGCAGCGAAAGCGAUAAACACACCGCCUGGGGAGUACGACCGCAAGGUUAAAACUCAAAUGAAUUGACGGGGACCCGCACAAGUAGUGGAGCAUGUGGUUUAAUUCGAAGAUACGCGCAGAACCUUACCAACACUUGACAUGUUCGUCGCGACUUUAAGAGAUUAAAGUUUUCGGUUCGGCCGGACGAAACACAGGUGCUGCAUGGCUGUCGUCAGCUCGUGUCGUGAGAUGUUGGGUUAAGUCCCGCAACGAGCGCAACCCUCACUUUUAGUUGCCAUCAUUAAGUUGGGCACUCUGAAAGAACUGCCAGUGAUAAGCUGGAGGAAGGUGGGGAUGACGUCAAGUCCUCAUGGCCCUUACGUGUUGGGCUACACACGUGCUACAAUGGUAUCUACAACAGGAAGCAAGACUGCGAAGUUAAGCAAAUCCUUAAAAGAUACCUCAGUUCGGAUUGCACUCUGCAACUCGAGUGCAUGAAGCUGGAAUUACUAGUAAUCGUGGAUCAGCGUGCCACGGUGAAUGCGUUCCCGGGUCUUGUACACACCGCCCGUCACACCAUGGGAGUUGGUUCUACCUUAAGGCAAGGUUUCAAACCCUUGACCACGGUAUAGUCAGCGACUGGGGUGAAGUCGUAACAAGGUA
RNAcentral lists this ribosomal RNA (1434 nucleotides) under uncultured Pelagibacterales bacterium. RNAcentral describes it as "bacterial SSU rRNA". It matches the Rfam family "Bacterial small subunit ribosomal RNA". Lineage: Bacteria; Pseudomonadati; Pseudomonadota; Alphaproteobacteria; Candidatus Pelagibacterales. The record is from RNAcentral.